AACGAACGCUGGCGGCAUGCCUAACACAUGCAAGUCGAACGAGACCUUCGGGUCUAGUGGCGCAUGGGUGCGUAACGCGUGGGAACCUGCCCUUAGGUUCGGAAUAACUCCCCGAAAGGGGUGCUAAUACCGGAUAAUGUCUUCGGACCAAAGAUUGAACGCCUUUGGAUGGGUCCGCAUUGGAUUAGCUAGUUGGUAGGGUAAAAGCCUAUCAAGGCGACGAUCCAUAGCUGGUCAGAGAGGAUGGUCAGCCACACUGGGACUGAGACGCGGCCCAGACUCCUACAGAAGGCAGCAGAGGGGGAUGUUGGAAAGUGGGGGGAAGGAUGAACCAGCAAGGCCGGGAGAGUGAUGAAGGCGUUAAGGAUGUAAAGCUCUUCUACCCGGGAUGAUAAUGACGGUACCGGAAGAAUAAGCUCCGGCUAACUCCGUG
RNAcentral lists this ribosomal RNA (433 nucleotides) under uncultured bacterium. RNAcentral describes it as "partial 16S ribosomal RNA". It matches the Rfam family "Bacterial small subunit ribosomal RNA", at positions 29 to 507 of the family's 1533-position model. The record is from RNAcentral.